Long non-coding RNA from Passer domesticus (house sparrow), 3838 nucleotides. RefSeq lists it as uncharacterized. The record is from RefSeq and is a predicted model, not a curated record. The transcript is spliced from 4 exons. NCBI's taxonomy places the organism in Eukaryota, Metazoa, Chordata, Aves, Passeriformes, Passeridae.
CCCGUCUGUCCCACCAUCCAGAGAUCCCCGUCUGUCCCACCACCCAGAGAUCCCCGUCUGUCCCACCACCCAGAGAUCCCCGUCUGCCCCACCACCCAGAGAUCCCUGUCUUUCCCCUGCCCUCUGCCUCUAUCAUUCCUCUCAGUACAGCCCCUGAAGUGUCAGUGCAGGUUACCAUUCCCGGGGCUGGGUGUUCCAUCAUUGCAGGGGCUGUGCCGUGGCUGGAUGCACAGGGAGAAGGGGCAGCGCCCUUCCAGAGGUACUCCAGCUCUCAGCAAAGCCUGCCAGCGACACUGGUAAUCCCUCACGUGAAAGGGCAAAAAGCUAAAAGAAUACAAGACUCUGCUGAGAUUAAGAGAGAAACAAACAGAGCCCAGUGUAACAAAAGAAGGUGCUCAGAUCUGUAGAUAAGGAGCUUUCCGAGGCCUCUGAGCAAGGACCCUGUUUAACUCCCUGCAGAGCACCAAAGGGUCUGCAGGGCUCAGGGACAGAGCUGCAGGAGAGAUGAAACAGCAAGAGUUAAGACAAGGAGACUGAUCCCUGCCUGAACUGCAUUUUUCAACUUCCAGCUAAAUUUUAUUGUGUGGUUAGAACCAGUUCCUGUUCUGGACCUAGUUUAAUUUCAUUCUGGAAAUGCGACCAUCUACUAUGUAGACACACUAUUAUUACUUUCCAGCAUCUAGUGAUAAUUGCCCAGAUGGGUACAAACCAUAUUUUAUUGUUAUUUUGUUUGGUUAAACUUAGGAGAGGGGCUGCUUGUCAUCAGGCUCUGAGUAAGAAAGUACUUUAUAAUAGUGUUUGUAAGCAGUAUCUUUGCCAGUGAUGAUGAAAGCAACAUUAAAUUGUUUUCAGAGGAAAUUUACGCUUGGGUUGAAGCUCAGCCCAAGGCAUAUAUAUCAUUUGUGUCCUUUUAGGCUUUAUUUUUGAGGCCUGAGUGAGACUGAUGGUGCACUGGUGUAGACUUGGUGCCGUGGAAAAUAUUGCUCUGGGGACUCAGUCCUUGGAUAUUUUUCAGGGAAAACUCCCAAUUGUUUUCAAUGUGCAAAUACCACAAAGGCCCUAUUUUGAGUUCUCUCUCAUUAGAUUGCAAAACUGUUUCAAUUAUAUCCUAUGGAUUUCACAGUCAUGUAACUUCCUGAACACCCACAUUGAGGAAAGAAAGGUUUCAUGUUUGGAUCUCUGUUUUGCUAACAUACCAGCUAACAAAACCCCACAGGACCACACUGGACAGCUACAACAUGAGUAUUAUUCUAAGAAAUAGUCAACAUUUGUCAGCCCUGACCGCAUGGUGACAUCUGAAUUUAGCACACUUUUCCCUGUCCUCAGAAUAAAAAGAUACCUAGGGAAAGCUUAGAUGGUAAAUGACUGUUGACCUUGACUUUUUUUCUAAACUUUCUUAUCAUGGACAGCUUACUAGGCCAAAAAAAAGCCCAAAAACGAUGUGAGAUAAAACUAUAUAUAAAGUUAAACAAAUUAACUAGAGGACAUUGAAAAGCUUCAUGUCAACAUGGUAGUACUAGAUUGUCUGCUAGACAGAAAAAAAGCAUGAAGAAACACUGGAUUGGAAAACUGUGGCAUUGAUAGUACUUGUCAAAUGAACUAUGCAGCAAUGGGUACUCAGGGUGGGAAAGAACUCCCAUAGUAUCUGGUCUCAUCCAAAACUCUUCUAGUAGUUUGCUGAAGUACUAUGUAAGUACUUCAAGGAAUCUGAAGCAUUAUUGUAUUCAAAAUGACAUUAAUUUUAAGGGUGAUUAGACAAGCUACUGUUCUAGAGAUGCCACUGUAUUACCAGUCAUUGGGGUUUGGAUAGAAAUCCUAGUGGGUCUAGAGCAGCUUGCCUUCUAUGUAAUCAGAUUCUGUUUUUCUUCUCCUCUGUGAAGUCAGAACACAUUCCCCCAUGGGAACACCUGUGUGCUGUCCCUGCACAGUGAGCUGCCCACACAGGCCCCUGGUUCCCUAAACCUCUGCCCAUGAGCCUCUGGCUGUUCAAUUCUGACCCAAAAACCAGGCACUUCACAUGGCUGUUCUCAUCACUAUUAAAGGCUUUAAGUUUUUGUUGUCUUUUCCCACUUUAGCUCUGCUUUGCAAACCUAGUCCUCCUCCUUGACAAUUGCCGUGGGACAAGGACCAGCUGCCGUACAGGAGUUCUCUUUAAAAAUUGUCUGCCAGCCUACUCCUGUGGAUUGUUCCCUGCUGCCCAGCUCCCCUUGCCCAGGACCAGGCUGUGAACAGAGGCCCUGGGAGGUCACUUCCAUAGGACUGCCCAUGGAGACAGAUAAAGGACAGCCAAGCUUUCAUUUAGCCACGAAACACAGAUGAUUUCCUGCCAUUGCCAUCUCCACUUUGAUGCGAGGAGAUGCUGAAGCUCUUGUGCCUGUUGGAGUUGUACUGUUUCUACAGAAAAAAAGUUGUUAGAUUCCAGCCUGGAAAAUUAUUCAAAAUGUAGAAAUACUAGGAAUGCAACCUUUUAUAUGAAGUGACAACAUGUUGAAUGCUACUGGGCUUAAAAAGCAAGUGUUCUGUAAUAGAGAAUACUAGAAGCAGCAAACUAGUAGUCCUGUGGAAGGUGGAUCUCCUAUGAAAUCAGCCUAGAUAUGUAAUACAUCCUAGAAACCUGGAAAGCUUAUGAAUGAGAGAAGUGGAAAAGUAUUCUCAAGAAAUAGGGGGAAAACCCCAUUCUCUGGAGAUGUCAGCUGGGAUUUUGGAAGUAUUUAGCAAUUGUCUGUGUCUGGCCCAGCUUGGAAAUCUGUCCCAGUUUAGGACAUCACUUGAACAUGUGGUUCUAUGCUGCUGAUGGAGCAGAAGUGUUACAUGAAGCUGAGCAUCCCACAUAUGGAGGGGCUUAGGAAUGUGCGGAAAUGCUUUGUCUGAAUGAAGGACCCUGUUUAAAGGCUCCCAUAUAUUGGCAGAGGUUGGAAAGGUUUAUCUUGAAAAUAAGGAAUGCAGUUUGUUGCACUGCUUUUUUUGUGUUUGUGUAUGUGUUGUUCUAAAAGUUGGUCACAUGAGAAAUUGUAGAAUAUUAAAAAAACACAUGUACAAAAUACUGUCCUCAUUUUUCUAUGCUGAAACAGAGUUCAGGAGCUUUUCUCUGAAAAUUCUUUACGUAUAUGUACUUUUACACUGAAGAAAGUAACAAAUGCUUUUAAUCGAGAUGGACAAUUGUGUGCAGGCAGGACAGGCAUGAUACCAGAUUGAAAACACAAAGGAUUUUACUGUCUUCCAGAAGUUUAGUAUACAUGGUUAAAAAUUUUAGAAAAAUAAUUUGACAGAGCUUUCUCAUAUCAAAAAUCAAUGUAAAACUACACUGUAAUCUGAAAAAAAACUAUCUUGCUUUCAUAUCAGAGAUAAGUAUAAGUCUUGUUUUUAUCUUAUUUUCCUUUAUUCCUCAGUGUCAUUACCAAAACAAGUAUUUCAGUGCAUUAGAAAAUGUAAUUUGAGUCAACUGAUACCUCAAUCGGUACUGACAUAUAUGUAAUUUCCUGUGAUGUUGAACAGAGAGAAUUGAUUUCAAAUGUAUAUUUUUGGAUUAAGGUGAAGGGAUCAAGUAGGAACGUAACUCUUAUGUCUGACGAUUGAAUUUGACCUGCCAUAUGAGCAGAGCAGAAUCCUGAAGGAUGAUAUCUCUAACAUAUAAAUGCCAUGUCUAUAUAUUAAUUUUGUGCCUAUAAGGAGAGCUAGGUAAGAAAGUGGUGAAUCAGUAAAAGAGUAUUUGUGGCACAUAGAAAGGCACCUCAGCAGUUUCUCUAUGUGUGUUCCUGUACUUAAGGAUAAUAAUUCCUAGUUACCUGAUCCAUGUACAGAACAUGGAAGAAGCAAGAAACUUCUCAUCACUGACUAC